UUCCCGUGAAGAAGCGGGAAUUAUUUUAUAAGACGAGAAGACCCCAUGGAGCUUUAAACCCAUUUUACACUCCUGAUUUAUACUCCCUAAUAGACCCAGGACUCUGUAUAUCUGGUUUUAGGUUGGGGUGACCGCGGAGCAUAACUAAGCCUCCACGAUGAAUGGAGAAACCCCCUUAUCCAAGAACUACAUUUCUAAGAAUUAGUAUUCUAACAUUAAAUGAUCCGAUAUUCGAUCAACGAACCAAGUUACCCUGGGGAUAACAGCGCAAUCCACUUCAAGAGCCCCUAUCGACAAGUGGGUUUACGACCU
RNAcentral lists this ribosomal RNA (312 nucleotides) under Blommersia bara. RNAcentral's name for it is "partial large subunit ribosomal RNA". It matches the Rfam family "Bacterial large subunit ribosomal RNA", at positions 2048 to 2526 of the family's 2925-position model. Lineage: Eukaryota; Metazoa; Chordata; Amphibia; Anura; Mantellidae. The record is from RNAcentral.